GUCUAUGGCCAUGCCACCCUGAACACGCCCACGCCCGAUCCCAUCUGAUCUCGGAAGCUAAUAAGCAGGGUCGGGCCUGGUUAGUGCUUGGAUGGGAGACCACCUAGGAAGAUCAGGUGCUGUAAGCG
This 128-nucleotide ribosomal RNA is filed under the name Pteropus alecto (black flying fox). Lineage: Eukaryota; Metazoa; Chordata; Mammalia; Chiroptera; Pteropodidae. The record is from RNAcentral.